GAUGAACGCUGGCGGCGUGCCUAAUACAUGUGAGUCGAGCGAACAGAUAAGGAGCUUGCUCCUUUGACGUUAGCGGCGGACGGGUGAGUAACACGUGGGUAACCUACCUAUAAGACUGGGAUAACUUCGGGAAACCGGAGCUAAUACCGGAUAACAUUUGGAACCGCAUGGUUCUAAAGUGAAAGAUGGUUUUGCUAUCACUUAUAGAUGGACCCGCGCCGUAUUAGCUAGUUGGUAAGGUAACGGCUUACCAAGGCGACGAUACGUAGCCGACCUGAGAGGGUGAUCGGCCACACUGGAACUGAGACACGGUCCAGACUCCUACGGGAGGCAGCAGUAGGGAAUCUUCCGCAAUGGGCGAAAGCCUGACGGAGCAACGCCGCGUGAGUGAUGAAGGGUUUCGGCUCGUAAAACUCUGUUAUUAGGGAAGAACAAAUGUGUAAGUAACUGUGCACGUCCUGACGGUACCUAAUCAGAAAGCCACGGCUAACUACGUG
Molecule: ribosomal RNA, 497 nt
Filed under: uncultured bacterium
Lineage: Bacteria
Description: partial 16S ribosomal RNA
Rfam family: Bacterial small subunit ribosomal RNA
Source: RNAcentral